This 645-nucleotide ribosomal RNA is filed under the name Haemobaphes diceraus. RNAcentral's name for it is "SSU rRNA". It matches the Rfam family "Eukaryotic small subunit ribosomal RNA", at positions 522 to 1164 of the family's 1831-position model. The record is from RNAcentral. Lineage: Eukaryota; Metazoa; Arthropoda; Copepoda; Siphonostomatoida; Pennellidae.
ACUUUAAAUCCUUUAACUAGGAACAAUUGGAGGGCAAGUCUGGUGCCAGCAGCCGCGGUAAUUCCAGCUCCAAUAGCGUAUAUUAAAGUUGUUGCGGUUAAAAAGCUCGUAGUUGGAUCUCGCCGGGUUGAGGGACGUUCGUUUUUUGACGCAACUACCUCGUUUACUCGUGAUUUUUGACUGAGGUGUUAGGGUGCCCUUCAUUGGAUGUCCUAAUGGCUCGUCAGGUUUACUUUGAAAAAAUUAGAGUGCUCAAAGCAGGCUUUUACAGCUUGAAUAUUCGUGCAUGGAAUAAUAGAAUAGGAUGUCGUUUCUAUUUUGUUGGUUUAUCGGAAAUCGACAUAAUGAUUAAUAGGGACAGUCGGGGGCAUUAGUAUUCAGGCGACAGAGGUGAAAUUCUUGGACCGUCUGAAGACUAACUACUGCGAAAGCAUUUGCCAAGAAUGUUUUCAUUAAUCAAGAACGAAAGUUAGAGGUUCGAAGGCGAUCAGAUACCGCCCUAGUUCUAACCAUAAACAAUGCCAACUAGCGAUCCGCUGUUGUUUUUUAUUACGGCACAGCGGGAAGCUUCCGGGAAACCAAAGUCUUUGGGUUCCGGGGGAAGUAUGGUUGCAAAGCUGAAACUUAAAGUAAUUGACGGAAGGG